GAUGAACGCUGGCGGCGUGCCUAAUACAUGCAAGUCGAGCGAACAGACGAGGAGCUUGCUCCUCUGACGUUAGCGGCGGACGGGUGAGUAACACGUGGAUAACCUACCUAUAAGACUGGGAUAACUUCGGGAAACCGGAGCUAAUACCGGAUAAUAUAUUGAACCGCAUGGUUCAAUAGUGAAAGACGGUUUUGCUGUCACUUAUAGAUGGAUCCGCGCCGCAUUAGCUAGUUGGUAAGGUAACGGCUUACCAAGGCAACGAUGCGUAGCCGACCUGAGAGGGUGUUCGGCCACCCUGAACCUGAGACACGGUCCAGACUCCUACGGGGGGCAGCAGUAGGGAAUCUUCCGAAAUGGGCGAAAGCCUGACGGAGCAACGCCGCGUGAGUGAUGAAGGUCUUCGGAUCGUAAACCUCUGUUAUUAGGGAAGAACAAAUGUGUAGUAACUAUGCACGUCUUGACGGUACCUAAUCAGAAAGCCACGGCUAACUACGUG
Molecule: ribosomal RNA, 496 nt
Filed under: uncultured bacterium
Lineage: Bacteria
Description: partial 16S ribosomal RNA
Rfam family: Bacterial small subunit ribosomal RNA
Source: RNAcentral